This 107-nucleotide ribosomal RNA is filed under the name Acanthosepion pharaonis. Lineage: Eukaryota; Metazoa; Mollusca; Cephalopoda; Sepiida; Sepiidae. The record is from RNAcentral.
GCCACAUCACGUUGAAACACCGGUUACCGUACGAUCACUAAAGUUAAGCAACGUUGAGCCUGGUCAGUACGUAGAUGGGUGACCGCUUGGGAAUACCAGGCUUUGUA